AAAGCAUAAAAUUAUUUAGAAUUUAUAAAAUAUUUUAAUUAUUGUAAAUAUUGAUAUGUGUUCAUGAGUUUCCAAAAAUGUAUCACUAACUUAUGUAUGUAACUUUAUAUUGAUCAUCGCUUUAUUUUCUGAUAUUUUGUUUAAAAAAAUCAACAUAUAAUUUGAUAAAUAUUAUGAAACAUGCACAUUUAAACGAUAAACAAAAUUAAUCUCACUUAAGUUAAUUAUAGGGGAAAUUGUCACAAAUACCACAUUCAUAAUACCACUUUUUAUGUUUACACU
This 282-nucleotide long non-coding RNA is filed under the name Brassica rapa (field mustard). RNAcentral's name for it is "long non-coding RNA (BRAP_LNC007254)". The record is from RNAcentral. Lineage: Eukaryota; Viridiplantae; Streptophyta; Magnoliopsida; Brassicales; Brassicaceae.